This 440-nucleotide ribosomal RNA is filed under the name uncultured bacterium. Its description in RNAcentral is "partial 16S ribosomal RNA". It matches the Rfam family "Bacterial small subunit ribosomal RNA", at positions 338 to 795 of the family's 1533-position model. The record is from RNAcentral.
CCUACGGGAGGCAGCAGUGGGGAAUAUUGCACAAUGGGGGAAACCCUGAUGCAGCGACGCCGCGUGAGUGAAGAAGUAUUUCGGUAUGUAAAGCUCUAUCAGCAGGGAAGAAAGUGACGGUACCUAAUUAAGAAGCCCCGGCUAACUACGUGCCAGCAGCCGCGGUCAUACGUAGGGGGCAAGCGUUAGCCGGAUUUACUGGGUGUAAGGGGAGCGGAGACGGCAGCACAAGUCUGGAGUGAAGUGCCGGGGCUUAACCCCGGAACUGCUUUGGAAACUGUGAAGCUAGAGUGCAGGAGAGGGAAGUGGAAUUCCUAGUGUAGCGGUGAAAUGCGUAGAUAUUAGGAGGAACAUCAGUGGCGAAGGCGGCUUACUGGACUGUAACUGACGUUGAGGCUCGAAAGCGUGGGGAGCAAACAGGAUUAGAUACCCCGGUAGUC